RNAcentral lists this unclassified non-coding RNA (486 nucleotides) under Hevea brasiliensis (rubber tree). The record is from RNAcentral. Lineage: Eukaryota; Viridiplantae; Streptophyta; Magnoliopsida; Malpighiales; Euphorbiaceae.
GUCGCUGUUGCCAUCUCCCACCUAACCCACAAACAAACAUUAAUGGUUUAACGACACUACAUGACGUUAAAUUAUGGCAGUUAUCGACUAUUAUAUCUGUGACCGUAGUUUGUUUGUAAAGCGUCAUAGACUAACGGGGCAUCAAUUCUGUUAUAACAAGAUAAUCUCAUUGAAGAGGAGAAACAGAAUAGACAAUCCAAUUAUGAAAAUUUAGUAAAUUAAAAUUAAAAUAAACAUUAGUUAUGUUUUAAUGGAAUUACAAGGAAUUGGGUACGUGAGAUUUCAUGUUAUAGCAUAAAAACAGAUUGAUGCGCAGAAUAGAACAGACAACAGUCCUCAAAAAAUGUUUUCGGGACCAAAAUCUAAAAUGAACGCAAGUCAAACCAGUUUUCACUUUCAAAACAGGGCAAUUUUUUUAUUUUUAUUUGAAAAAACUCUUUAAAAGAUCUACUUUGAGGUGUGAAAGGUACCUCCCCAUAGAGAACA